This is a long non-coding RNA of Parus major (Great Tit), 3369 nucleotides long. RefSeq lists it as uncharacterized. Lineage: Eukaryota; Metazoa; Chordata; Aves; Passeriformes; Paridae. The record is from RefSeq and is a predicted model, not a curated record. The transcript is spliced from 3 exons.
GAACCGGUGCUUCUGAUUGGGGGCGGCUGGGAAGCUCUUAGCUGCUGAUUGGUUAGCUGUAUGUGGCCCCGCCCCCGCGCACCGUUCCCUUCAGAGGGCCGCAGCCCGCCCCGACCGGUCCAUGGCGUUGUGCGGGUGGUGCUCUGUGGGUGCUUGUACAGGCACCGGUACGACCGAGCCCGGGGUCGCCACCACCCGGAGUCGCCGCUCCGGGCAGCGGAAUGCUGCAGCCCUUUAAGGCUCCGGUUGAUUCUCCCGGAAGCCGCCUGACGAGAGCAGCUCCCGGGAUUUCUUCCGUCCAGUGACGUCACUCCUGGCCUCGGGGGCGCUGCGCGUGCGCCUGGCGUCGUACGCGCUUCCCGCUGCCCUGAGGGUGGUGAGGUGGUGGUGCUGCGCUUCGCCGAGCGGAGCGGGUGUGAGCUCCAUAGCUUGGUGUCACCUGGGAUUUGUGAACGCACACAAUAAAAAUGCCUUUACCCGGUAAAAGCCCCUGAGUGCGCACGAGGCCCAAGGGGCGCUGUGCCGUCGUUCCUUUAAGCGAUGGCCGCGGUCAGUCUGACCAGCGGCAGGUCAGGCGGGGACGCCUUCCCUGGGCCGGGCAGAUGGAACACACGCCCUGCCCACGGAACGGCCGGAUUGGAGCUCUUUUCAAUGCUCUCUCAAAUGAGAGGAAUUGGGUUUUCCCCGUCGGACUGGACAUAAUUGCCUUCUCGUAGUAUAAUGAACAUGGUGAAGGGUCUGGAGGGGAAGCCGUUUGUGGAGUACCUUUUGUGUUACUACCUCAUUGUACCUCAUGCCUUUUGUGGUAUGAGGUCACUUGGGUUGAUCAGCCUGGAGGAGACUGAAGUCAGACACUGUGGUCUUGGAGCUUCCUCAUGAGGGCCAGUGGAGGGGCAGACACUGAUCUCUGCUCUGGUGACUAGUGAUGGGACUUGGGAAUGGCUGAAGUUGUGUCAGGAGACGUAUGGGUUGGAUAUAAGGAAAAGAUUCUUCCCCAGAGGGUGGUUGGGCACUGAAGAGGCUCCCCAAGGAAGUGAUCACAACACAGCCUGACAGAGCUCAAGGAAUCUUUGGACACAGCUUUCAGGCACAUGGUGAGAUUUGUGGGACUGUCCUGUGUAGGACCAGGAGCUGGACUCAGUCAUUGUGGGUCCUUUACAACUAAGGAUUUUCUAAUUCUGUUUCCGUUUUUUUCAGCAACAUUAGUGAUGGCAAUUUCAGUAUUGCAGCUUACCAGUCUUGCACAGAUGCCCCCACAAAUACUGUGGUAACUGAUGUGAUCUGUAUGGUAGGACUGCAUAAAGAAAUCUUUAUAAGUUCUAACCAGUAUAGUAUGAGGAUUUAACUACUACUAAUCAAGACAGGAAAGAAUGCAUCCAAUUAGUAGUUUAUCAGGUGAAGUUAUGCUGAUGGAAAGUUCCUUGACCUGGUGAGGCCUAAAACAUUAAUUAUUAAUAAAUUAAUGUAUUAAACAUUGUUCCAGUCGAAUUACAUUAGAGGGGCUGUGUCUAAAUUGUUGAAGCUUUGCCUUGAGGCUUUUCUCAGCUCCAAAGAGUGAAUUGCCUCCUGCUGAUCUCAGCUCUGUUAUUCUUGAGACUAAGUGCGACAAUUCAAUCACAGAAGUCAGUUUUUAAAUAGUCAGUGUUUAAGUGUAUAGCACGGCAUUUAACGGAUCCCUAAGAGUCAUGGUGAAAUUGGACUUUUGCUUACUGCAGGAUCUAAAGGGACAUGAGAGAAAACAGAAAAAAAGAUCAUGCAUAGAACAACAGUUACACCCAUGGAUCAUAAACCAUGAAAUAGACCAUAAAAAUGGUAUUACAUAAAUCAUGCCACUGAUUUUUCCAAGCCUGCUGAUAGGAUUUGUUGCAUACUGUUCACCUGGAGAGAAUGGCCUGUUGGGAAUUCCUGACUAUUUUUGGGAAUACUUCAGACUGCAAAUGUGAGCUUGAAAGUCACAUCAGGUAUAGACAAUCAUGAUGUUAGUGCUGACAGUUCUCUGGUUCAAUUACUUCUCAUCCCAACCACUCUGCAAAAGCAAAGAAGCAAAGUAGGAGAUGAUUCCACAGAGACUUGGAGAUAAGAGAUUCAGAACCUACUUGACAAGUGACACAUACUCUGUUCUUCAGCACUAUUUAGCACCUUUUUGAUCUUACAUGUCUUAAGAUAUAAGUUUUCCUAUACUCACUUUUUUCCUACUCCUAAAUUCUCUAGCUAAUCCCUGUGUUCCCUACCCCUUGGUACUUCCAGGGAUUUUUUGACCCUCAACAAUCAAUUCAGUAACUUCCCAGUUCCCUAAGCAGUCUGGAUGAUGUUUAAAGACCAAGGGUUUUUAAUAAGAGGGUUCUUGUGCAGAUUAGCCUGGAACAAUAGAGGGCUACAUUCUAGCCAGCUUUCCUUUGAUGUUCACAUUACUUAGGGAUUUUAUCCUGAUGGGUUCAGUUGCUAUAAAAUUGCACAGCUGAGGGAGUACAAGAAAGACAGGUCCUGACCAGACCAAUACAGUAUUCACUGUUGACAGGGUGAAGAAUUAAACUAAGAGAUGAACAAAUAAACAGUUAACAAAAAAAUUUCAUUUUAUUUACAAGCAAUUUAAACUAUUUAAAGACAAUGAAAAGCCAGUAGACAUGGUAGAAGUUACACAUAACUGUGAAUUUCUUUUUCUUCUCUCUUAAAUGAAAUGUAGUCUGUGGUCUCUCUAAAUCCACGUCCUGUCUCCACCCUGGAUACUGCAUUCAAUUCUGCAGCCUCCCCCCAGUCUCAGUAAAAAUAGAACUGGAAGAAGAUUCAGAAAUGGUUGACAAGGACAAAGGCAUAGAAAUGGGAUUUCAUAACUGAAUUAAAAUAGUAGGAAAGUAUGAAAAGGGCACUGCUUCUGUUUGUGGCAAAGCUGUCUAGAUAAUAAAAGCAGGCAAAAUCUCAAGUCUGUUUGAAUUCAGUAUAGAUGAUUUCCUCAGUGCAUUUGCAUCUCUUGGUGAUAUAUUGAAAAAAUUAUUAUCAAUUAAUUUGUUAUUGCAGAACAGGCCUAUUGCCUUCCCUGCCUACAGGCCAUAGUUUCAUAAAAACCUUUAGGCAAAAGGAAGUGAUACUGGAGUCUCCUUCCCUGGCAGGGUGGAACUGCUAAUUUGAAGGUGUCUCCUAUCACAUCACAUCACAUCACAGUAUUAGAAUCAUGUAGGUGGCGAGGGACUUCUGCAGGUUUUGUAGUCCAGCUUUCUCCUCAUGGCAGGUUCCAUUAAAGCAGGUUGCUUUUAGUCGUGUUCAAUUGAAUUAUGUAUAUCUUGAAGGAUGGAGCUGCCAUCGCCUUUCAGGGCAAAUCGUUUCCAUAUCUGAUCCUUAAAAAAUAAAUAAAUAAUUGUUUCCUAUAUUGAA